This 279-nucleotide ribosomal RNA is filed under the name uncultured bacterium. RNAcentral's name for it is "partial 16S ribosomal RNA". It matches the Rfam family "Bacterial small subunit ribosomal RNA", at positions 506 to 784 of the family's 1533-position model. The record is from RNAcentral.
UGCCAGCCGCCGCGGUAAUACGGAGGGCGCAAGCGUUGUUCGGAAUCAUUGGGCGUAAAGCGCGUGUAGGCGGUUCGGUAAGUCGGGUGUGAAAUCCCGGGGCUCAACCCCGGAACUGCACUCGAAACUGUCGGACUAGAGUCCCGGAGAGGAUGGCGGAAUUCCCGGUGUAGAGGUGAAAUUCGUAGAUAUCGGGAGGAACACCAGUGGCGAAGGCGGCCAUCUGGACGGUGACUGACGCUGAGACGCGAAAGCGUGGGGAGCAAACAGGAUUAGAUA